GACGAACGCUGGCGGCGUGCUUAACACAUGCAAGUCGAACGAAAAUACCAAGCUUGCUUGGUUGAUUAGUGGCGAACGGGUGAGUAACACGUGAGUAACCUGCCCCUUACUUUCCUGGAUAACUGCUCGAAAGGGUAGCUAAUACGGGAUAUUCUGACCAGCCUGCAUGGGUUGGUUUGGAAAGGUUGUUUUUCUGGUAAGGGAUGGGCUCGCGGCCUAUCAGCUUGUUGGUGGGGUGAUGGCCUACCAAGGCUUUGACGGGUAGCCGGCCUGAGAGGGUGGACGGUCACACUGGGACUGAGAUACGGCCCAGACUCCUACGGGAGGCAGCAGUGGGGAAUAUUGCACAAUGGGCGCAAGCCUGAUGCAGCGACGCCGCGUGAGGGAUGAAGGCCUUCGGGUUGUAAACCUCUUUCGUCAGGGAACAAGGCACUGCUUUUUUGGUGGUGUUGAGGGUACCUGGAUAAGAAGCGCCGGCUAACUACGU
This 487-nucleotide ribosomal RNA is filed under the name uncultured bacterium. RNAcentral describes it as "partial 16S ribosomal RNA". It matches the Rfam family "Bacterial small subunit ribosomal RNA", at positions 28 to 506 of the family's 1533-position model. The record is from RNAcentral.